This 108-nucleotide small nuclear RNA is filed under the name Catagonus wagneri (Chacoan peccary). The record is from RNAcentral. Lineage: Eukaryota; Metazoa; Chordata; Mammalia; Artiodactyla; Tayassuidae.
GUGCUCGCUUCGGCAGCACAUAUACUAAAAAUUGGAACGAUACAGAGAAGAUUAGCAUGGCUCCUGCGCAAGGAUGAUACGCAAAUUCGUGAAGCAUUCCAUAUUUUU